GCAAAGAUUGUUAAACAAGUCUACUCUGUACUUCCUGUGUAUGAUAAAAUAGUCCCUGCUCUUCUUAGUGAUGGUGUAUGGAAUCUUCCCAAGUCAUGUAGCUUUACGCCUGGUGUCCCCAUUGGACCAAUGCUUGCAAAGUCAAUCAAAAAGGUUUCUGAGAUAGCAGAUAAGUUCCAGAAUAUGGACUUCACUUGUGAAUACAAGUAUGAUGGAGAGCGUGCCCAGAUACAUUACCUGGAGAAUGGUUCAGUCGAGAUAUACAGUCGAAACGCUGAGCGGAAUACUGGAAAAUAUCCAGAUGUUAUAGUUACGAUUUCAAGAUUAAAGAAGGGACCUGUAAAAUCAUUUGUUUUGGACUGUGAAAUAGUUGCUUACAACCGAGAGGAAAAACAAAUUCUGCCCUUUCAGAUCCUUAGUAGUCGGCCC
RNAcentral lists this unclassified non-coding RNA (429 nucleotides) under Hevea brasiliensis (rubber tree). The record is from RNAcentral. Lineage: Eukaryota; Viridiplantae; Streptophyta; Magnoliopsida; Malpighiales; Euphorbiaceae.